Molecule: ribosomal RNA, 350 nt
Filed under: uncultured bacterium
Lineage: Bacteria
Description: bacterial SSU rRNA
Rfam family: Bacterial small subunit ribosomal RNA
Source: RNAcentral
GACGAACGCUGGCGGCGUGCUUAACACGUGCAAGUCGAGCGGUAAGGCCCUUUCGGGGUACACGAGCGGCGAACGGGUGAGUAACACGUGGGUGACCUGCCCUCAGCUCUGGGAUAAGCCCGGGAAACUGGGUCUAAUACUGGAUAUGACUCCACGGUGCAUGUCGUGGGGUGGAAAGCCUUGUGCGGCUGAGGAUGGGCCCGCGGCCUAUCAGCUUGUUGGUGGGGUGAUGGCCACCAAGGCGACGACGGGUAGCCGGCCUGAGAGGGCGACCGGCCACACUGGGACUGAGACACGGCCCAGACUCCUACGGGAGGGCAGCAGUGGGGAAUCUUGCGCAAUGGGCGAAA